RNAcentral lists this transfer RNA (73 nucleotides) under Candidatus Woesearchaeota archaeon. RNAcentral describes it as "tRNA-Gln". It matches the Rfam family "tRNA". From Rfam's summary of the family: Transfer RNA (tRNA) molecules are approximately 80 nucleotides in length. Their secondary structure includes four short double-helical elements and three loops (D, anti-codon, and T loops). Further hydrogen bonds mediate the characteristic L-shaped molecular structure. tRNAs have two regions of fundamental functional importance: the anti-codon, which is responsible for specific mRNA codon recognition, and the 3' end, to which the tRNAs corresponding amino acid is attached (by aminoacyl-tRNA synthetases). tRNAs cope with the degeneracy of the genetic code in two manners: having more than one tRNA (with a specific anti-codon) for a particular amino acid; and 'wobble' base-pairing, i.e. permitting non-standard base-pairing at the 3rd anti-codon position. Lineage: Archaea; Nanobdellati; Candidatus Woesearchaeota. The record is from RNAcentral.
AGCCCCAUGGUGUAGUGGCCAAUCAUCGGGGAUUUUGGGUCCCUGGACCUCGGUUCAAAUCCGGGUGGGGCUA